RNAcentral lists this ribosomal RNA (464 nucleotides) under uncultured bacterium. RNAcentral describes it as "partial 16S ribosomal RNA". It matches the Rfam family "Bacterial small subunit ribosomal RNA", at positions 338 to 795 of the family's 1533-position model. The record is from RNAcentral.
CCUACGGGAGGCAGCAGUAGGGAAUUUUCGUCAAUGGGCGCAAGCCUGAACGAGCAAUGCCGCGUGAACGAGGAAGGUCCUCGGAUCGUAAAGUUCUGUUGAAGGGGAAAAAGAGCGGAGAGAGGAAAUGGUCUCCGAUUGAUAUUACCCUUCGAGGAAGUCACGGCUAACUACGUGCCAGCAGCCGCGGUAAAACGUAGGUGGCGAGCGUUCUCCGGAAUGAGUGGGCGUAAAGGGUGCGUCGGCGGCCUGCAAAGUCUGGGGUGAAAGGUACCGGCUCAACCGGUACAGGCUCUGGAAACUGGCGGGCUAGAGAGCAGGAGAGGGCGGUGGAACUCCAUGUGUAGCGGUAAAAGGCGUAGAUAUAUGGAAGAACACCAGUGGCGAAGGCGGCCGCCUGGCCUGUUACUGACGCUGAGGCACGAAAGCGUGGGGAGCAAAUAGGAUGAGAUACCCUAGUAGUC